AAGCUUUUUUUAAACACGUUCUGAAGGUGGAGUUGUUUCUCUAAUAUUUCUUUAAUACAUUACGGUUAUAGACUUUUGUGUGUUAAUUUUAUAUUUUGCUGCUUUACAGGUUUACAUAUGUUCAGACUAUGAGUUUGACCAGGUUAUGGGUUUAUGGAGCUAAAGAGUUUGUGUAGACUCCUUCAAUCUUGCCUGCCGCCUAUCGACAAUCACCAGGUGAUUUACAUUUUUUUAAAACUCUUGAGAGUUGGUGGCAGCCAUUCUCUGGAGAGUGAUUAAUGGUAACUGCACACAGAAAAGAAGUGCUUGUGAAAUAGUGUUUAAAGGGACAAUGAAGGGACACAAAAAGCACAUGUGUUUCUAGUCUAAAUUUUUCUCUUUCCCUAGCAACUUGCUGGGGACUUCAAAAGAGAGUUCAGAAACUGCAGGCAUAUAGCUUCCUUUACAUGUGUGGGGCAGGCUUUAUGCUGCUCAAAACAAUAUUGGAAAGAUGAUUUAGUCACUGGCUCUAUCAGUGACCUGGAGUCUUUGGAAAGAAACAUGAUGUGAUGGCUGUCCUGCUCCAGGAUUCUAAUAGACCUUAGAUAGACACACAGUAGAGGUGGGCAUUUAGAUGCAUAUAGUAGGCGAUGUCUUGAGAGAAGUCCUCAGUGCUGUAUACAUUUUCAUGAUAAAAAGCAUCCAAAAAGUCUCCAAAAGAUAUUCUGAGGGAUAGAACAUACUUAAGUGAGAGAAUGUCUGCCCCAGAAUCAAAGAUAUAAAUAAACCUGGCAGAGAUAUCAGGCAAUAAUUUUAUCAUAUGUUCAAGACUGUUGGCUCUUGUAGUGACUCAUAAAUUUCUUCAAGUAGGUCUUGUGACAUUAUUUGGUGCAGAAAUGUGUUUGUGGCCAAGUCCAACCAUUUAAGCACAAUUCUUGAGGCACAGACUGUAGAAGGAAAGAACUCUUGUCCUCUGACUAUACUUGUAUACUGUAGCAUAUACAUAUACAUUGCAAGAGGGAAGGAUGGGAGGAAGGAAGGACGAUAGGAAGAAAUGGUAGUAUAUUUAAGGUCAAACCACCCAGUUAGCACCAUGUCCAUUGGAUACCACUGAAAUCCAUGCUUCUGCUUCAUGAGCUACAGAAAAAAGAGCCAGAACUUAGCCAUACACAGAAAUAAAUCAAACCAGUAAGAUACAAAGAAAACAUAAUUUAAUCCAUAUUGACUGGAUGUUUAUUUAAUUUCUCCUUUUUCAAAUAUUUUUGACAGAAUUAGCAAAUAAUUAUCUCUUAUAAAAAUUGUGCUCAAUAAUGUAAUGUUAAUAGUCACAAGCUUUAUGAGCAGUCACUUGCCCGAGGGCAGGACUUGUAAGCCUCGCAACGUAUAAAUAUCUCUGGUCCCCCAUAGGCUU
Molecule: unclassified non-coding RNA, 1390 nt
Filed under: Rattus norvegicus (Norway rat)
Lineage: Eukaryota; Metazoa; Chordata; Mammalia; Rodentia; Muridae
Description: partial androgen receptor DNA-binding domain
Source: RNAcentral